This 11470-nucleotide long non-coding RNA is filed under the name Homo sapiens (human). RNAcentral's name for it is "HSALNT0041711". Lineage: Eukaryota; Metazoa; Chordata; Mammalia; Primates; Hominidae. The record is from RNAcentral.
UAGGUGGUUGGAACCUUCAUCCCCAUUCCACACUCACCUCAGGGAGAGAAGAAUGGCUAGAGAUUGAUUGAACCACCAAUGGCCAAUGGUGUAAUUGAUCAUGCCUACUUAAUGAAGCCUCCAUAUAAACCCCAAAGGAUGAGCUUUAAGAGUUUCCAGGUUGGUGAAAACAUGGAGGUCAUGAAAGGAUGGUGCACCUGAGAAAGCAUGAAAGUUCUCUUCAAGAUACCUAUGCAUCUCUCCUGGCUGGCUGUUCCUCAGUUGUACCCUUUUAUAGUAAACUGGUAAUCUAGUGAAUAAAUUGUUUUCCAGACCUCUGGGAGCCAUACUUGCAAAUUAUUGUGCCUGGGGAGGGGUUUAUGAGAACCUCCAAUUUAUAGGGGCCCCAGUCAAUCAGAAGCACAGGUGACAACUUAGACUUGUGACUGACAUUGGAAAUAGAAGCCAGUCUUCUAAGACUGAGUUCUUAACCUGCCUGUGGGGUCUGUGCUAACUCUGGUUAGUUUUAGAAUUUAAUUAAACCAUAGGACACCCAGUUGGUGUUUGCCAGAGGAUUAAGUUGAAUUUUUUAGAAAAAGCUCACACAUUUGGUAUCAGAAGUGAAGUAGUGAGAGUAAUAGUUGAUCAGAGAAGAAAUAAGAAAUUUUCCUUUCAGAUACCAAAGCAAACAAGAAGGCCAGGAUAAUGUGCUGAAAUGCUGAUUUGUAUUCUGUUUUCCAUGUAUUUUUUCCUUUCCUUUUUCACAUUAAUUUGUUUACCUUUGCCUCAGGCUGGUCUGUGUAGUGAGGCCUGAAGCAGAAAUUAUCUGGGAAAACCAAAACAAAAUAAGCAAAGUAUAUCAAACAAAUGAAAAUGUAUCUUGUUAGUUUGUUAAGAACAUGCUUGAUUGAGAAAAUUAUGUUCAAGGACCCCAUAGAAGAAGGGAAGACAGGCAAGUGCUUAUGAAGGGUGCAUUGGGAAGUGAAAUAAAUAAAGAGGUAGUGGGAACUGUGUCAUGAUAUAUGUAGCUACUAAAAUUAAUGGAAGUGGAAAAUUAGGAAUCCGCAUUAACAUGAGCCAGAGGGGUAAAGUUAAAGCGAGAAGCCCAUGCAUUAAGAAUGUAAUUUAUGAACAAAGAAAAAGUAUUGGCAUGCACAUAAUUUGACACACAAUUGAAAUUUUAAAACCCAAACCAAACGAACCUCACUUCUUUUAAGCCAAAAGCAUACCAUAAAUUAUUAUAAAUUGUAAAUUUACUUAAGCAAAUUCAAUGCCUUUUUUUUUUGAGACGGAGUCUCACUCUGUCACCCAGGCUGGAGUGCACUGGCGUGAUCUCGGCUCACGGCAACCCCUAUCUCCUGCGUUCAAGCGAUUCUCCUGCCUCAGCCCCCUGAGUAGCUCCUCAGUACAGGCGGGUGCCUCCAUGCCCGGCUAAUUUGUUGUAUUUUUAGUAGAGACAGGGUUUUGCCAUGUUGGCAAGGCUGGUCUUAAACUCCUGACCUUAGGUGAUCCACCCACCUCGGCCUCCCAAAGUGCUGGAAUUACAGGCGUGAGCCACUGCACCUGGCCUCAAUGUCGUCGUCUUCUCCUUUUCCUUCUCCUUCUUCUUCAUUUUUUCUUUUUUUUUUUCUUUUUUCUAGAUACAGAGUCUCGCUCGAUCACCCAGGCUGGAGUGGAGUGGCGCCAUCUUGGCUCACUGCAAGCUCCGCCUCCCGCGUUCUCGCCAUUUUCCUGCCUCAGUCUCCGGAGUAGCUGGGACUACAGGCGCCCGCCACCACGCCUGGCUAAUUUUUUUGUUUUUUUAGUAGAAACGGGGUUUCACCGUGUUAGCCAGAAUGGUCUCGAUCUCCUGACCUCGUGAUCCACCUCAGCUUCCCAAAGUGCUGGGAUUACAGGCAUGAGCCACCGAAACCGGAUGAUGCCUCCUUCUUAAUUUCCAGUCUUGUUGGCUAAUAUCAGAUUUGCUGUCUGGAGAGAUAUAUGAAAUUUAAAGAUGGCAAUCCAUUCCCUUCCCAUCAUGCUUCUUUUUCUACAGACCCGGAGUUUCUGUCCAUGUCCAAUGCAUUCAAGAUUCUUCUGCAAAUCUGAACAGUCAAAGCCUGAAGUACAUGGAGGAAAGAAGAAAUCCAUUUGAAUGGAAGAAGCAUUCCAAGUGACAGAAUGUAUCAGAACAUUUAAAGACGAAAGAAGGACAUCAUUUUGAAUCAUGAGGCCUACUGGAAAAAUAAACAACAAAAAACAAGCAAGCAAAAUACAGUGGAGAGAGCUGAUAGAGCAGUAGAAAGUCUCCUGGAAUAUCCCCACAGGCUGCUGGUGUCUGGUAGGGAGGAGAGAGUGAGGGAGCCACUUUGGACAUCCGAAUCACUUUUAGCAUACUUUACUUUUCCUAGGUGCAAAAGCAGAGAGGCAAGGAGACUAUCAGUCUUACAAUGUUGAUGGUUAAUAGGAGCCUGGUGAUGGUAGUCUGACCAGGGGAGAGAAUUAGAGUGGUGUCCCCAUCACCCACUUGUUUGUUGGCACCUUGUAGUCCUACACUUGUGAACUUCUAGUUCCUAUGGCUGAAGGAAAAACUGAUCUAACAAAGAGGAGUAAUGCUUUAAGUCUUAUCAGAAAUAUAAGCCCUAGCGUGAAGGAGUGUUUCUAGUGCCUUCUUGAAAAAAAGUUUUUUUUUUUUUUUGAGACAGAGUCUCUCUCUGUCACCCAGGCUGGAGUACAGUGGCGCUAUCUCAGCUAACUGCACCCUCCACCUCCCCAGUUCAAGCGACUCUCUUGCCUCAGCCUCCUAAGUAGCUGGGACUACAGGCACCCGCCACCACGCCUGGCGAAUUUUUGUAUUUUUAGUAGAGACAGGGUUUCACCAUAUUGGCCAGGCUGGUCUCUAACUCCUGACCUUGUGAUCUGCCCACUUUGGCCUCCCAAAGUGCUGGAAUUACCGAUGUGAGCCACUGCGCCUGACCAAAAAAAAAAAAAAAAAAAAAAAAAUGCUUUUAAUAGACUGAGGAUGGAGAAAAUAAGAGCAAAGUACAAUAAUGAGUGUCUGGAGAGGUUGGAGUAGGAGACCAGGCAGAGUAGCUUGGGAAAAAGGCAGGGAAAGGUGCAAAUUGGAUGCCAAGAUAAGCUUGGCUUAUUUCUAAUUUUGCCUAAAGUGACAUAAUAUAACUAUGUCCCCAAGCACAUGUAACAUCUGAUCACAUUGAGAUGAGAAAUUGCCUGAGAAAUACAGAUGGAAUUUAUGCAGUAAGCAAAGUUGGAAAAGCAUUUAUAUCAUUCUACAGUUGCUUAGUCUCUCUAGCCUAGGAAACCAUGGGAUACUUAAUUCAGCCAUCUCUAUCUAGGCCCUGUUAUUAAUUGUGUAUUGCAUGGUGUGCUUGCAGGAUCACAACUGCAUCACAAAAAUAAUCUGACCCUGGCUGUGAGAUUUGGAGAUGACAACACAAUUGUAAAUUUAUAAAAUUUACUGCACCUACUCAGGGGGACAUAAGGCAACUGUGUUAAUUCAUUUCCCAUUCCAGAGGAAAGGAAGGACUAUGAAAAAUAUCAUCCAAAUCAAUAGAACACAGUGAUUAGGCUAUCUAUUGUUUCAAUAGUUUCAUCAAUUGCUGACUGAAUCUUCUAGUCUGCAGUUUAAAAUCUAGUUAGUACUUUGUCCAAUAUGCUAUAAUACAUACUAGCAGUCUGUAGAGGGUCUCUAUAAUGAAUUACUGCUACAUUCACUGUCCCACCAAUUUUCUAAUAAUUCUGUCAAAUCACCUUCUGGAUUCCAAUUUUCUAUUUUUUUUCAAUGAGUUACAUGACUAUAAUCCAACAUUUUUGUAAUUUCAACAAAAAACAUUUGAACAUGCAGUAAAUCACUGGAGGUUACCAGGGAAGAAAGGACCUGCAGCCUUGAACAAAGACGGAUUUAGAAAUAUGUUCAGCAAUACCAGUGAAUAGUACAGGAGAAUCUAGGAUAAAGGAAACAGACUGGAAAAUAAACCAUCCUAGAAAGAAAAGUUCAGAGAAUGAGAACCCCUGGACUGUCUCAAAAAAAAGAAAAAAGAAAAAAACAGAAACGCGACAUGCUCUAAAAAGGAAUAUUUAACCUGGAUUAAUUCAUAAAAUAAUAGGAGAAAAUUUUUGCAGCCAGAAUACUAUGAAUUUGAGUUGGUUGAAGAACAACCUCAUCUUUUAAAGCAGAGAAGUUUUCUCAGAUAUGUUUUCCAGAAUGCCAAAUCGUAAGUAAAUUGAUGAGAAAACUGUGGCUCAAAAGUUAUGUUACUUGUUAGACAUCACCAGACAUUUAAGUGCCUCACCCCAUAAACAGAAAGAAGAUGAGACUACAGAAUAUUAGGAAAUACAUUGCCAUGAACAAGUAGGAUUUGAAAGCAGUCUGCUGUCUUAUGCACUGAAGCUGAGGACCCACACUUUAACAGAAUCUAAAUGCCAGAAGAAACAUGGACUCAGAUGAAAUUGUACAACAUGUGGUCUUUUUCUUCUGAGCCCCAAAAUGUAAAGAACUUUCCGGAAGAAGAAGAAAUGGGGCAGAAGAAGAAGUCAGAGAGAUUUGAGCACCAGAAGGACUUGACAUGCUAUUGCUGGUUUGAAGAUGAAGAGGGCAAUAUAACAGCAAUGCAGCUCUGGCAUUAAGUGCUGAGAGAGGCUCCCUGCUGACAGACAGCAAGGAAAUAAAGACCACAGUCCCACUGCCACAAGAAACUGAUUUCUGCAAACAACAUGGAACAGCUUAGAUGAAAUUUCUCCCCAGAUAAUAACCCAGGUGAGCCAAUACAUUAAUUUUGGCCAUGUAAAACCUACAGAAGAGGAACCAGUGAAAUUUACUCUGAUUUCUGUCCUACAGAACUUAAUGUGAAUGGCUUUAAGCCACUACAUUUAUAGUAUUUUGUUACAGCAGUGACAGAAAACUAGUGUAACAUAUAAACACAAAGAAGGGAAAUAAUGAUAUCUGUAUAAAUAAUUAAAAUAUAAAAAUUGACCAAGAUGGCCAACUAGACACAGCCAGGAAGAGCAUCUACCACUGUGAGAAAAUACCUUCAAUAAACCAGCACACUCUGUGCAGAUCUUUGGAGGGAAGGCAUUGAGAGCAGACAGAGGGAGGAUGCAGACCCUAGGCUGAAGGGGGAGAAAAGCUGGGAACCCUGCAUAGGGUUGCCAAGCACCAGGACUCAUUCCCGGCCCCCAGUGGCUCCUAGGGAAGGGUUGAGUUAAAUAGUCAAGGAAUGGCCCACUGUUACCACAGAGCUCCAGAAUUCUAGCUGCAAGAGACCCCUCAAUCCUCAUGGACAUUUGAGCUGGCAGGGAAAGAUGCUUAGAGAGGUGGCAGAGACAGAACUCAGGCUGUGUGAAUUUGGACAGAGCAGAGCUUUCUUGCCUGUGAGAUUGUGCCAGUCUGUUCUGAGUGACCCCAGUCUGUAUGCCUCUCCCUAGUUCCUAGCUGGGUGUGCUCACUUGCAGCUCAGCCUCAGAUGCCCAGUUAGGGUGCUUUCCAGCUGCUACUACCAUAGCUCAUUCACUGACUGAUCCCCAACUAACUGCUGGAAAGGUUCAUGCCCCCCUAGCAUGAACUUGACCCAAGACAUAGUCAUCAGAUUCUCCAAGGUCAACACAAAAGAAAAACUAUUAAAGGAUGCUAGAGAGAAGGGGCAGGUUAUCUACAAACCUUAUUAGGCUAACAGAAGACCUUUUAGCAUAAACCCUGCAAGUCAGAAGAGAUUGAGGAUCUACAUUCAGCAUUCUUAAAGAAAAUAAAUUCCAACUAUGAAUUUCAUUUCCAGCUAAGCUAAGCUUCAGAAGCAAAAUAUAAAUAAAAUUCUUUUCAGUGCAGGAAAUGCUAGGGGAAUUUGUUACCAAUAGACCUACCUUACAAAAGGUGAUUCAGGAAGUGCUAAACAUGGAAAUGAAAGGCCAUUAUCGGCCAUCACAAAAACACACUUAAGUACACAGACCAUUGACACUACAAAGCAACUACACAAUCAGGUCUACAUAAUAAUCAGCUAACAACACAAUGACAGGAUCAAAUUUUCACAUAUCAAUAUUAACCUUGAAAAUAAAGGUGCUAACUGCCCCUAAUUAAAAGACACAAGGUAGCAAGCUGGAUAAAGAAGCAAAUCCAACUGUGUGCUGUCUUCAAGAGACCUAUUUCACAUGCAAUGAUGUCUACAGGCUCAAAGUAAAGGGAUGGAGAAAAAUCUACCAAACACACAGAAAACAAAAACAAACAAAAAAAGAAGGGAAUGCCAUUGUUAUUAAAGACAAAACAGACUUUAAACCAACAAUGAUCCAAAAAUACAAAAAAGAACAUUAUAUAAUGAUAAAGGUUAAAUUCAACAAGAAGACUUAACUAUCCUAAAUAUAUUUGCAGUCAACAUUGAAGCACCAAGAUUCAUUAAAAGCAUUUUAGAGACUUAAGAAGAAGCUUAGCUAAUUACACAAUAAUAGUUGGACACUUCAACACCCCACUGACAGUAUUAGACAAAUCAAAAAGGAAGAAUAAUAACAAAGACAUUCAGGAUGUAAAGUUAACAGUUGACCAAAUGGACCUAACAGACAGCUACAGCUAUAGAACCUAACAGACAGCUACAAGAAAGAUAAAAUAUACAUUCUUCUGACCUGCAGAUGGCAAAUAUUAUAAAUCAAACACAUACUCAGACAUAAAGCAAUUGUUAACAAAAUUAAAAAAAAAAAACAAAUCAUACCAAAUACAUGCUUGGACCACAGUGCAGUAAAAAUAAAAAUCUGUACUAGAAGAUCUCUCAAAAACAUAAAAUUACAUGGAAAGUAAGCAACCUGUUUCUGCAUUACUUUUGAGUAAACAAUAAAAUUAAGGCUGAAAUCAAAACAUUAUUUGAAACUAAUAAGAAGAAAGAUAGAACCUACCAGAAUCUCUCGUACACAACUAAAGUGGUGCUAAAAGUGAAGUUUUUUGGUGCUAAUUGCCUGUAUCAAAAAGUUAGAAAGCUCUCAACAACCUAGCACCAUACCUAGAGGAGCCAGAAAACCAAGAGCAAAUCAGUCCUACAGCUGGCAGAAGAAAAGAAAUAACCAAAAUCAGAGCUGAACUGAACAAAAUUCAGAUACAAAAAAUCAUACAAAAGAUCAACAAAAUCAAAAGUUAGUUUUUUAAGAUCGACAGACCACUAGCUAGAUUAAUUAAAAAAAAAGAGAGAGAAGAUCCAAAUGAAUACAAUCAGAAGUGACGAACGAGACAUGAUCACUACCCCCACAGAAAUACAAAAAUCCCUUAGACACUAUUACAAAUAUUCCCAUGCACACAAACAAUAAUCCUAAAAGAAAUGGACAAACCCCUAGAAACAUACAACCUCCCAAGUUUGACCCGGAAAACAAUUGAAAUCCUAAAAAGACAAAUAAUGAGUUCCCAAAUUGCAUCAGCAAUUAAAAAAAAAAAAAAACUUACCAACAAGAAAACACUAGACCAGAUAGAUUCAUAGCAGGUUCAAGUUCUACCAGAUAUGUAGAGGAGAGAUGAGACCAAUCCUAUUGAAAAUAUUACAAAAAAUUGAGGAGGAGGGAUUCUUCCUCAUUUUAUGAGGCCAGCAUCAUCGUAAUACCAAAACCUGGCAGAGACACAACUAAAAAAGAAAAUUUCAAGCAAAUAUUCCUGAUGCAUGCAAACGUUGUCAACAAAAUACUAGCAAAUUGAAUCCAGUUCCACACCAAAAAGCUAAUCCACCAUGAUCAAAUAGGCUUUACUCCUGGGAUGGAAGCAUCCUUUGUGUUCAACAUAUGCAAAUUAAUAAACGUGAUUCAUUACAUAAAUAAAACUAAAAGCAAAAACCACAUGAUAUCUCAAUAGAAGCAGAAAAGGCUUUGAUAAAAGUCCAUACCCCUUCUUGUUAAAAAAAAAAAAAGCCCUCAACAAACUAGGCAUUGAAGGAAUAUACCUCAAAAUAAUAGGAGCCAUCUAUAACAAAUUCAUAGCAAACAUCAUAUGGAACAGGCAAAAGCUGGCAGCAUUCCCCUUGAGAAACAGAACAACACAAGGUAGCCCACUUUCCCCACUCCUAUUUAACACAGUAUUGGAAAUCCCAACCAGAGAAAUCAGACAAGAUAAAAGAAAUAAAAGGCAUCCAAAUAGGAAGAGAGGAAGUCAAACUCUCUCUCUUUCAAGAUGAUAUGAUUUCAUACCUAGAAAACCCCAUACUCUCGGCCCAAAGCCUCAUAGAUAUGAUAAAUAACUGCAGUGAAGUUUCAAGGUACAAAAUCAGUUUUCAAAAAUCAGUAGCAUUUCUACACACCAAUAACAUCCAAGCUGAGAGCCAUAUCAAGAAUGCAAUCCCAUUCAUAAGAGCCACAAAAAUAACAAAAUAACUAGAAAUACAGCUAACCAGAGAGGUAAAAAAUCUCUACAAGAAUAAUUACAAAACAGUGCUGAAAGCAGGCAGAGACAACACCAUCAAAUAGAAAACAUUCCAUGCUCGUGGAUGAGAAUAAUCAAUAUUGUUAAAAUGGCAAUAAUCCCCAAAGAGAUCCUAUCAAACUACCAAAUACAUUUUUCACAAAACUAGAAAAAAACUAUCUUAAAAUUCAUUUGAAACCAAAAAAGCCCAAAUAGCCAAAGAAUUCCUAAGUAAAAAGAACAAAGCUGGAGGCAUCACAGUACCCAAAUUCAAACUACACAAGGCUACCGUAACAAAGACAGCAUGGUACUGGUGCAAAACAGACACACAGACCAAUGUAACAGGUUAGAGAGCCCAGAAAAAAAGCUGCCCACCUACAUCCAUCUGAUCUUCAAUGGCGAGUGAGCAUUACUGCCUGAGCUCCACCUCAUGUAAGAUCAGUGGCAGCAUUAGAUUCUCAUUGGAGCUCGGACCCUAUUGUGAACUGUACAUGCAUGGUAUCUAAAUUGUGUGCUCCUUAUGAGACUCUAAUUCCUAAUGAUCUGAGGUGGAACAGUUUUAUCCUGAAACCAACCCUACCCCCUAUAAACCAUGGAAAAAUUGUCUUCCAUGAAAGCAGCCCCUGGUGCCAAAUAAGUUGAGGACCACCAACCUACAGAAUGAGAGAAUAUAUUUGCAAACUAUGCAUCAGACAAAGUUCUAAUAUUCAGAAUUUAUAAGGAAUUUAAACAACAUAGCAAGCAAAAACCAAAAAAUCCCAUUUAAAAAAUGGGCGAAGACAUGAAGUGUUACUUCAAAGGAAGACAUGCAUGUGGCCAACAAUCAUAUGAAAAAAUGCUCAACAUCAUUCAUCAUUAAAGGAAUGCAAAUAAAAACCACACCACACCAGUCAGAAUGGCUAUUACUAAAAAUAAAAAUAACAGAAGGUGGCAAGGUUGCAGAAAAAAGGGGACAUGUCUAUGCUGCUAGUCGAAAUGUAAAUUAGUUCAGCCCCUGUGGAAAGCAUUGUGGCAGUUUCUCAAAGAACUUAAAGCAGAACUACCAUCCAACUAAGCAAUCCUAUUAUUGGGUAUAUACCUCCCAAGACAUAAAUUAUUUUACCAUUAAUUUGCUUAGGAUAAUGGCCUCCUAAGACACAUGCAUGUGUAUGUUCAUCAUAGCACUACUCACAAUAGCAAAGACAUAGAAUCAACUUAGACGCCCAUCAAUUGUGAAGUGGAUUAAAAAAAUGUGGUACAUAUACACCAUGGAAUACUAACCAACAAUAAAAAAGAACAAAAUCAUCUCCUUUGCAGCAUCAUGGAUGGAACUGGAGGCCAUUAACCUAAGCAAAUUAAUGCAAGAACCAAAAACCAAAUACUGCAUGUUCUUACUUAUAAGUGGGAGCUAAACACUGAGUACACAUGGACAUGAGGAAGGGAACAAUAGACAUCAGGGCCUACUUGAAGGUGGAGGAUGGUAGGAGGGUAAGGAUCUAAAAACUACAAAUUGAGUACUAUACUCAUUACCUAGGUGACAAAAAAAAUCUGUAUACAAAACCCCCGUGACAUGAAAUUUACCAUGUAGCAAACCUGCACAUGUACCCCCGAACCUAAAAGUUGGGGAAAAAAAUAGAAAAAUUUGAAAAUCGUGAUAAUGAUGGGUAAAUCAGGAACAAUCCUCCUUAAAAACACUCAUGAGAGAGAAACAUUUAUGGUAAAACUGAUUAAGAAAACAAGAAACCUAAAUUAUUUUAGAGGGAUAACAAUGGGAAAGAGUUUCCAUACUGGAUAUCUAAAUUUUUUCAAUAUUAUUUAUUUAAAGUAGGAUGAUUUUGGUGUAAGAACAGAAGAGAGACUGUAAAUAAGUCCACACAUAUCAAGUAUCUUGAUUUAUGACAAAAAACAAAAUCUCUGCAAAUCAACAAGGAAAGAAUGUUCUUUACAAAAGAAUGGUGUGUGGUGCUCAGUCAAUUAAAUAUCCAUUAAAAAAUCCUGUGUCCAUUACCUCAAAUCAUACCUAAAAAUUAAUUUGAGAUGAAUUUUGAACUAAAUGUAAAGGUAAAACGAUUAGGAGCUAGAAGAAAGCCUAGUGCAACAAAACACACUCAUGACCUUGAGAUAGCAACAUUUAAAACAAAAAACAAACAACAGCAACAAAAAAACACGGGUAGUAUCAACCAUAAAGGGAAAACAGGCUGGGCGCGGUGGCUCACACCUGUGAUCCCAGCACUUUGGGAGGCCGAGGCGGGCGGAUCACGAGGUCAGGAGAUCAAGACCAUCCUGGCUAACGUGGUGAAACCCCGUCCCUACUAAAAAUACAAAAAUUAACUGGGCGUGGUGGUGGGUGCCUGUAGUCCCAGCUACUCGGGAGUCUGACGCAGGAGAAUGGCGUGAACCCAGGAGGCAGAGCUUGCAGUGAGCCCAGAUUGCGCCACUGCACUCCAGCCUGGGUGACAGAGUGAGACUCUGUCUCCAAAAAAAAAAAAGGAAAAGAAAAAAAGGAAAACAAAAAUUAAUUUCUGCUUAUCAAAUGAUAAUAAUAAGAAAGUGAGAAGGAAAGUCACCGACUUGCAGUAAAUGCACUUGAAUAAAAUAUAUUUAUAAAAUUAUCCAAUAUGCAAGUGAAAAUAUGUGCAACCUCAUUAGGCCUCAGGAAAUGCAAAGUAAAACCAGAAGGGGAUCGUCAUAUCAGAACAACUAUAAUUAAAAGACUAGUAAUUUCCAGUGUAUGCCAAGAAUGUAGACAUCUAGAAGUGUCAUAUUUCUGGAAGGAUUUUAAAUAGGUUCAGCCACUUAAAAAGUUAGCAGUAGCUAAAAAGUCAAACCUUCAUAUAACUUAUGAUCUUUAUAAUGCAUCAAUUAUGCUCUUGAGAUACUCAAGAUUAAUGAGUUAAUGUGUCCAUUAAAAGAUUCUACCAGCCUUAUUCAUAAUAAUUAAAAACUGAAAAUCAACCAAGUAUUCAUCAAAAUUAAUUAGAAGAAAUGAGAUACAAUAUUAUAUAACACUUACAAAGAAUUUUGUUUUUCUUGAGACAGAAUCUCGCUUUGUUGCUCAGAUUGGAGUGCAGUGGUGUGAUCUCAGCUCACUGCAACGUCUGCCUCUCAAGUUCAAACGAUUCUCCUGCCUCAGCCUCCUGAGUGGCUGGGAUUACAGGU